GAGGGUAUAGUUCACUGGUUGAGUGCGUGCUUGGCAUGCAUGAGGUCCUGGGUUCAAUCCCCAGUACCUCCA
RNAcentral lists this transfer RNA (72 nucleotides) under Camelus bactrianus (Bactrian camel). It matches the Rfam family "tRNA". From Rfam's summary of the family: Transfer RNA (tRNA) molecules are approximately 80 nucleotides in length. RNAcentral also lists the same sequence under 1 other name. The record is from Rfam by way of RNAcentral. Lineage: Eukaryota; Metazoa; Chordata; Mammalia; Artiodactyla; Camelidae.